GUGCCAGCAGCCGCGGUAAGACGAACCAUCCAAACGUUAUUAGGAAUCACUGGGCUUAAAGGGUGCGUAGGCGGCGCGAAAAGUUGGGUGUGAAAUACCUCGGCCUAACCGAGGAAUUGCGCCCAAAACUGCCGUGCUCGAGGAAGACAUAGGUGAGCGGAACUUAGGGUGGAGCGGUGAAAUGCGUUGAUAUCCUAAGGAACACCAGUAGCGAAAGCGGCUCACUGGGUCUUAUCUGACGCUGAUGCACGAAAGCCAGGGGAGCGAACGGGAUUAGAUACCCCUGUAGUCC
Molecule: ribosomal RNA, 292 nt
Filed under: uncultured bacterium
Lineage: Bacteria
Description: partial 16S ribosomal RNA
Rfam family: Bacterial small subunit ribosomal RNA
Source: RNAcentral